RNAcentral lists this ribosomal RNA (301 nucleotides) under uncultured bacterium. Its description in RNAcentral is "partial 16S ribosomal RNA". It matches the Rfam family "Bacterial small subunit ribosomal RNA", at positions 509 to 809 of the family's 1533-position model. The record is from RNAcentral.
CAGUAGCCGCGGUAAUACGUAGGUGGCAAGCGUUGUCCGGAAUUAUUGGGCGUAAAGGGCUCGCAGGCGGUUUCUUAAGUCUGAUGUGAAAGCCCCCGGUUCAACCGGGGAGGGUCAUUGGAAACUGGGAAACUUGAGUGCAGAAGAGGAGAGUGGAAUUCCACGUGUAGCGGUGAAAUGCGUAGAGAUGUGGAGGAACACCAGUGGCGAAGGCGACUCUCUGGUCUGUAACUGACGCUGAGGAGCGAAAGCGUGGGGAGCGAACAGGAUUAGAUACCCCAGUAGUCCCUGUCUCUUAUAA